Molecule: ribosomal RNA, 352 nt
Filed under: uncultured Eubacteriales bacterium
Lineage: Bacteria; Bacillati; Bacillota; Clostridia; Eubacteriales
Description: uncultured Clostridiales bacterium partial 16S ribosomal RNA
Source: RNAcentral
GGAGUUUGGACCGUCUCUCAGUUCCAAUGUGGCCGGUCAUCCUCUCAGAUCGGCUACCGAUCGUCGACUUGGUGGGCCGUUACCUCACCAACUAUCUAAUCGGACGCGAACUCACCCCAAACCGGAUUGCUCCUUUUACCCCUGCUCCAUGCGAAGCUGUGGUCUUAUGCGGUAUUAGCACCUGUUUCCAAGUGUUAUCCCCCUGUCUGGGACAGAUUGUUCACGCGUUACUCACCCGUCCGCCACUCGAAUAUCAGAAAUUCCUGCCGAAGCUCUCAUCCCCGAUAUCCCCGUUCGACUUGCAUGUGUUAAGCACGCCGCCAGCGUCGUCCUCGAGCACUGAUCAACUACU